UGCGCGUGUGGCGGAAUUGGCAGACGCACUAGACUUAGGAUCUAGCGUCUUACGACGUGGGGGUUCAAGUCCCUCCACGCGCAUCC
Molecule: transfer RNA, 86 nt
Filed under: Saccharibacillus kuerlensis
Lineage: Bacteria; Bacillati; Bacillota; Bacilli; Caryophanales; Paenibacillaceae
Description: tRNA-Leu
Rfam family: tRNA
About the family: Transfer RNA (tRNA) molecules are approximately 80 nucleotides in length. Their secondary structure includes four short double-helical elements and three loops (D, anti-codon, and T loops).
Source: RNAcentral